AUGUCUCAUAACUUAACAUGGCCCUUAUUUGAAAUAACCGUUUGUUUUGCGUGGACAUGUGGGAUGUUGGUUGAGAUUGGAUUUUAGUGCGCUCACUUGCAUAAUAAUGGAAGAGUGUGUAUAUCAGAAUUUUCUAUAUAUAUAUAUAUAAUUCUAUCAUCUAAAUAAUAUUAUAAAUAUUAUUUAAUAUAUUAUCAAUAAUAUUUAAUUCAAUAAUCAAAUGGAGGA
RNAcentral lists this long non-coding RNA (228 nucleotides) under Elaeis guineensis (African oil palm). Its description in RNAcentral is "long non-coding RNA (EGUI_LNC026621)". Lineage: Eukaryota; Viridiplantae; Streptophyta; Magnoliopsida; Arecales; Arecaceae. The record is from RNAcentral.